RNAcentral lists this ribosomal RNA (497 nucleotides) under uncultured bacterium. RNAcentral describes it as "partial 16S ribosomal RNA". It matches the Rfam family "Bacterial small subunit ribosomal RNA", at positions 28 to 507 of the family's 1533-position model. The record is from RNAcentral.
GACGAACGCUGGCGGCGUGCCUAAUACAUGCAAGUUGAGCGCUUAAGGUUGGUACUUGUACCAACUGGAUGAGCAGCGAACGGGUGAGUAACGCGUGGGGAAUCUGCCUUUGAGCGGGGGACAACAUUUGGAAACGAAUGCUAAUACCGCAUAAAAACUUUAAACACAAGUUUUAAGUUUGAAAGAUGCAAUUGCAUCACUCAAAGAUGAUCCCGCGUUUUAUUAGCUAUUUGGUGAGGUAAAGGAUCACCAAGGCGAUGAUAAAUAGCCGACCUGAGAGGGGGAACGGCGAAAAGGGGAAGGAGAAAAGGACAAAAAAAAUAAGGGAGGCAGCAGGAGGGAAAGAUCGGAAAUGGACGAAAGUCAGAACGAGCAAAGACGAGGGAGUGAAGAAGGUUUUAGGAUCGUAAAACUCUGUUGGUAGAGAAGAACGAUGGUGAGAGUGGAAAGCACAUCAAGUGACGGUAACUACACAGAAAGGGACGGCUAACUACGUG